ACUCGCCUCGAUCAUGUGUGACUGAGUAUUGGUGCUAAUCACCCGCCAGCAAAAUGUUUUUGCUGGCUUUUU
Molecule: antisense RNA, 72 nt
Filed under: Enterobacter hormaechei ATCC 49162
Lineage: Bacteria; Pseudomonadati; Pseudomonadota; Gammaproteobacteria; Enterobacterales; Enterobacteriaceae
Description: SgrS RNA
Rfam family: SgrS RNA
About the family: In sugar transport-related sRNA (SgrS) is induced under conditions of glucose phosphate stress in E.coli. This small RNA acts to negatively regulate the translation and stability of the ptsG mRNA, which encodes the major glucose transporter in E. coli.
Source: RNAcentral